This 563-nucleotide ribosomal RNA is filed under the name Streptomyces sp. 340G07. Its description in RNAcentral is "bacterial SSU rRNA". It matches the Rfam family "Bacterial small subunit ribosomal RNA", at positions 93 to 671 of the family's 1533-position model. The record is from RNAcentral. Lineage: Bacteria; Bacillati; Actinomycetota; Actinomycetes; Kitasatosporales; Streptomycetaceae.
CAGUGGCGAACGGGUGAGUAACACGUGGGCAAUCUGCCCUGCACUCUGGGACAAGCCCUGGAAACGGGGUCUAAUACCGGAUACGACCUUCCCCUGCAUGGGGGUUGGUGGAAAGCUCCGGCGGUGCAGGAUGAGCCCGCGGCCUAUCAGCUUGUUGGUGGGGUAAUGGCCUACCAAGGCGACGACGGGUAGCCGGCCUGAGAGGGCGACCGGCCACACUGGGACUGAGACACGGCCCAGACUCCUACGGGAGGCAGCAGUGGGGAAUAUUGCACAAUGGGCGAAAGCCUGAUGCAGCGACGCCGCGUGAGGGAUGACGGCCUUCGGGUUGUAAACCUCUUUCAGCAGGGAAGAAGCGAAAGUGACGGUACCUGCAGAAGAAGCACCGGCUAACUACGUGCCAGCAGCCGGGGUAAUACGUAGGGUGCGAGCGUUGUCCGGAAUUAUUGGGCGUAAAGAGCUCGUAGGCGGCUUGUCACGUCGGGUGUGAAAGCCCGGGNCUNANCCCGGGUCUGCAUUCGAUACGGGCUAGCUAGAGUGUGGUAGGGGAGAUCGGANUUCCU